Long non-coding RNA from Sardina pilchardus (European sardine), 871 nucleotides. RefSeq lists it as uncharacterized. NCBI's taxonomy places the organism in Eukaryota, Metazoa, Chordata, Actinopteri, Clupeiformes, Clupeidae. The record is from RefSeq and is a predicted model, not a curated record. The transcript is spliced from 5 exons.
CAUUUCUAUAUUUCUAUAUUUUUAAACGUUAUACAGGAUACGUCAUCCAUGCGUAGCCACAGAACGCCCAUCUCCGAAAUAACACUUCCGCGUGGGAUGGUCUUGUGUUUGCUCUCGUAUCGGGAUUGCCACUUCCCUCAUCUGUCCUCGGUCUUGCCUCCUCCGGUUGCAAUUACAUGAAUGAGAUGUCCUCGUGCCCUCAACUGUGAGCGUUUUCCGGUGAACAAGGAUCGAGGGAGGAAGGAAGGACCGAUAAAUCGUUACAUGAAAGGCACCCCAUAUCUUUUACUGUCUAUGCAGGAGACCUAUGACGGAAAUAGAAGACCAACAAAAAAAAAAAAAACGUUGACAUUUGCUUCCUCGGCCUCUGCUGAUGUCUACGUGAUAGCUCUGUCCAUAUUUCUCAUUAGUUUCAGACCGACGCCAUAUUGCAGGGGUGGGCAUCUAAUUUACCCAAGGGGCCACAUGAGAAACUGGGACUGUUGAGGAGGGCCGGACCCAAAGCGCCAAACUCAAGUCUAACACAGACAGAUGUUACAAGCUAAAGAAAGAUACAGAAAGAAAAACAUGAGUAAAAGGAAAAGGAGAGGGGUUAUCACUAGCAAGACGGAGGAUGAGGAGGAGGAAGAUCAAGCAGGACCUCAGAAAAAACAGAAACUCCAGGGAUCCAUGACUUAUUGGAAGAAGAAGAGGGCUGGAGCCUCCAAAGUGGGUGUGUCUUCAUCUGCCACUGACAGGUGGACACCUGAACAGGUAGAGGUCCAUGAGAAAUUCCGAUCCACACUGAAGAGCAAGUUUCAGCAUCUGGUUGAGGGAGUACCUAAUCAGGGAGAAACCCGACUCCUCCAUGAGAUCUACACAGACCUCUACA